This 40-nucleotide ribosomal RNA is filed under the name Acer campestre (hedge maple). Its description in RNAcentral is "partial 25S ribosomal RNA". The record is from RNAcentral. Lineage: Eukaryota; Viridiplantae; Streptophyta; Magnoliopsida; Sapindales; Sapindaceae.
GCAUCGCGACCCCAGGUCAUGCGAGAUUACCCGCUGAGUU